This 324-nucleotide long non-coding RNA is filed under the name Populus trichocarpa (black cottonwood). RNAcentral's name for it is "long non-coding RNA (PTRI_LNC000216)". The stretch from base 1 to 131 matches the Rfam family "MIR2912 microRNA precursor family", at positions 25 to 156 of the family's 156-position model. The record is from RNAcentral. Lineage: Eukaryota; Viridiplantae; Streptophyta; Magnoliopsida; Malpighiales; Salicaceae.
ACACUGAACAGUGUCUGGACUGCAGGACAGAUUCAGACUUCUUCGUUGUUUCUACAAUUUGGACUUGAAAACGGCAUUGUUAAAUCUUGGACUCCCAUGAAAGUUGUAGGCCUAUGUCUUAGCUUUCCAUCCAUAUAAGGCAGACCUAAAUCAGAGAUCUACAGCUCCAAAUAUGACCCGAUUACCAAACAGUGUUCCAGUUUGGACUGCACCAAUCAUCUCUUUUCUAAGUUUGGCCAUCUCUUUGUCCUUUCAAUUUUAGUACUUCAAGUCAUCAAUCAAUUCUUUCAUUUAUGUGAUAGGUCUGCAUUUAAGAUGAACAUU